Molecule: ribosomal RNA, 621 nt
Filed under: uncultured Alcaligenes sp.
Lineage: Bacteria; Pseudomonadati; Pseudomonadota; Betaproteobacteria; Burkholderiales; Alcaligenaceae
Description: bacterial SSU rRNA
Rfam family: Bacterial small subunit ribosomal RNA
Source: RNAcentral
UUGAACGCUAGCGGGAUGCCUUACACAUGCAACGUCGAACGGCAGCACGGACUUCGGUCUGGUGGCGAGUGGCGAACGGGUGAGUAAUGUAUCGGAACGUGCCUAGUAGCGGGGGAUAACUACGCGAAAGCGUAGCUAAUACCGCAUACGCCCUACGGGGGAAAGCAGGGGAUCGCAAGACCUUGCACUAUUAGAGCGGCCGAUAUCGGAUUAGCUAGUUGGUGGGGUAACGGCUCACCAAGGCGACGAUCCGUAGCUGGUUUGAGAGGACGACCAGCCACACUGGGACUGAGACACGGCCCAGACUCCUACGGGAGGCAGCAGUGGGGAAUUUUGGACAAUGGGGGAAACCCUGGUCCAGCCAUCCCGCGUGUGCGAUGAAGGCCUUCGGGUUGUAAAGCACUUUUGGCAGGAAAGAAACGUCGCGGGUUAAUACCCCGCGGAACUGACGGUACCUGCAGAAUAAGCACCGGCUAACUACGUGCCAGCACGCCGCGGUAAUACGUAGGGUGCAAGCGUUAAUCGGAAUUACUGGGCGUAAAGCGUGCGCAUGCGGUUCGGAAAGAAAGAUGUGAAAUCCCUUACUUAACUUUGGAACUGCCUUUUUUAGCUACCUUGCUA